Molecule: transfer RNA, 44 nt
Filed under: Herbertus juniperoideus subsp. acanthelius
Lineage: Eukaryota; Viridiplantae; Streptophyta; Jungermanniopsida; Jungermanniales; Herbertaceae
Description: partial transfer RNA-Phe
Source: RNAcentral
GCCGGAAUACUCAGUUGGUAACAAGGACUGAAAAUCCUCGUGUC